RNAcentral lists this ribosomal RNA (207 nucleotides) under uncultured bacterium. Its description in RNAcentral is "partial 16S ribosomal RNA". It matches the Rfam family "Bacterial small subunit ribosomal RNA", at positions 568 to 774 of the family's 1533-position model. The record is from RNAcentral.
CGUGUAGGCGGCUCGAUCAGUCAGAUGUGAAAGCCCAUGGCUUAACUGUGGAACUGCAUUUGAAACUGCCGGGCUUGAGUAUGAGAUGGGAUAGUGGAAUUCCCAGUGUAGCGGUGAAAUGCGUAGAUAUUGGGAAGAACACCAGUAGCGAAGGCGGCUAUCUGGCUCAUAACUGACGCUAAUGCGCGAAAGCGCGGGGAGCAAACA